RNAcentral lists this long non-coding RNA (963 nucleotides) under Neodiprion lecontei (redheaded pine sawfly). RNAcentral's name for it is "uncharacterized LOC124295429". Lineage: Eukaryota; Metazoa; Arthropoda; Insecta; Hymenoptera; Diprionidae. The record is from RNAcentral.
UGGCAAGCAGAUCUUAGUAACCAAAGGUACUCGUAAACCGUUGUAAAACUCAAUUCAAGUAAUUUUCCACAUUCAAGUGCAGAUUUAUAUUUUCUCAAAACAUCUGCUAUUCUUGGAACAUUUUCCGAUGUCACUAGUUGUGGAUAUGUUUCUAUACGGUGACAAAAUUUGGAUACCUAUGCAUAAAGACGACAGCAUAGCCACGAUCGAGGAAAUAUUCAGUGGAGGAAGAGCCUCUCGUACCUGCGCUGAAGUUAUCCACAAAGCGAACGGUAUUGUGUUCCAAUGGAACAGUUGUCCCGCCACUCUACAUCGAGCGCAAUAAAGCGAGAGGUUGGAUACGUUAUCAGGGCACCUAACCUCAAUUAUUGUCAAUCACGGACUUCACCACGUAUCUUGAUAUAAAAAAUGGGAACAAGGUGAUCCUGGUGAUUCCAGAAUAAAAAAAGGUAAGAGAUUCAAAACCUCUCAAAACUUGAUCUCAAAAUCGAUUCAGACGACCCUUUCGAGACUAAUUGGAGAGCAAGGAUUACUAAACAGGCACUCAUGAAAUCUAUGGAUCUGAUGCUAACAAAGAACAAUGAGAAUAUGGACCUAUUUCUUUAUUGAUUCAUCUUAAUCUGAGUUACAUACAAUAGUAACAAUACAAUAUCAAACAUAAUGUUUGCUGCAAAGGCACAUUGCGCCAAUGCACACACGAAAGCUAGAACUUAAACUGCACAUAAGAAAAACAAUGAUACCUAUAUCACGUAACAUUAUUCACAUUCUGCUAUAGUCCACGUAGAUCAGAUUUAUUUCUACUGGUGGAAUGGAAAGAUUCGUUCUCUAACGUUCUAUGUAUAUUUUUAUUUUUUUUUUUGUUUUUUGUUUGCCAAUCAAUUGAAUACUAUUAAGCUUGAUUUCGAAGUACUAUACACUGACACCCAAACAAUUGUACUAGAAGUAGGUAUUAUUUGAUGAAUU